ACGGGCAGGCAGGCUGGCAUGCGAGGGAGCACUCUCCUCUGAGGGGAGAGUGCUCCCUCAAGUGCCAGCCUGCCUGCCCGC
This is a non-coding RNA of Pelobates cultripes (western spadefoot toad), 81 nucleotides long. Lineage: Eukaryota; Metazoa; Chordata; Amphibia; Anura; Pelobatidae. The record is from the annotation of a GenBank genome assembly.